RNAcentral lists this ribosomal RNA (477 nucleotides) under uncultured anaerobic ammonium-oxidizing bacterium. RNAcentral describes it as "bacterial SSU rRNA". It matches the Rfam family "Bacterial small subunit ribosomal RNA", at positions 365 to 832 of the family's 1533-position model. The record is from RNAcentral.
UUCGCAAUGCCCGAAAGGGUGACGAAGCGACGCCGCGUGUGGGAAGAAGGCCUUCGGGUUGUAAACCACUGUCGGGAGUUAAGAAAUGCAAGGGUGUUAAUAGCGCCCUUGCUUGACUAAGGCUCCGGAGGAAGCCACGGCUAACUCUGUGCCAGCAGCCGCGGUAAUACAGAGGCGGCAAGCGUUGUUCGGUAUUAUUGGGCGUAAAGAGCACGUAGGUGGUUUUGUAAGUCAGAUGUGAAAGCCUUCUGUUCAAAGGAAGAACGGCAUCUGAAACUGCGAAUCUUGAGUGUAGGAGGGGAGAGUGGAACUUCUGGUGGAGCGGAGAAAUGCGUAGAUAUCAGAAGGAACGCCGGCGGCGAAAGCGGCUCUCUGGCCCGUAACUGACGCUGAGUGUGCGAAAGCUAGGGGAGCAAACGGGAUUAGAUACCCCGGUAGUCCUAGCCGUAAACGAUGGGCACUAAGUAGAGGGGUUUU